This 77-nucleotide transfer RNA is filed under the name Candidatus Peregrinibacteria bacterium CG1_02_41_10. Its description in RNAcentral is "tRNA-Val". It matches the Rfam family "tRNA". From Rfam's summary of the family: Transfer RNA (tRNA) molecules are approximately 80 nucleotides in length. Lineage: Bacteria; Candidatus Peregrinibacteriota. RNAcentral also lists the same sequence under 1 other name. The record is from RNAcentral.
GGACGCGUAGCUCAGUUGGUUAGAGCGCACGGUUCACAUCCGUGAGGUCACAGGUUCAAUUCCUGCCGCGUCCACCA